This 401-nucleotide ribosomal RNA is filed under the name uncultured bacterium. RNAcentral describes it as "bacterial SSU rRNA". It matches the Rfam family "Bacterial small subunit ribosomal RNA", at positions 356 to 773 of the family's 1533-position model. The record is from RNAcentral.
AGGGAAUCUUGCGCAAUGGGCGAAAGCCUGACGCAGCAAUGCCGCGUGCGGGACGAAGGCCCUAGGGUCGUAAACCGCUUUCAGUAGGGACGAAAAUGACGGUACCUGCAGAAGAAGCUCCGGCCAACUACGUGCCAGCAGCCGCGGUGAUACGUAGGGAGCAAGCGUUGUCCGGAAUUACUGGGCGUAAAGGGCUCGUAGGUGGUUGAGUAAGUCAGAUGUGAAAUCUCAGGGCCCAACCCUGAGCGUGCAUUUGAUACUGCUCUGACUAGAGGCCGGUAGGGGAGUGCGGAAUUCCCGGUGUAGCGGUGAAAUGCGUAGAGAUCGGGAGGAAUACCAGAGGCGAAAGCGGCGACCUGGACGAGUACUGACACUCAACUGCGAAAGCGUGGGGAGCAAAC